CACGUGGGGUGCAAGCGUUGUUCGGAAUUACUGGGCGUAAAGGGCUCGUAGGCGGCCAAUUAAGUCAGACGUGAAAUCCCUCGGCUUAACCGGGGAACUGCGUCUGAUACUGGAUGGCUUGAGGUUGGGAGAGGGAUGCGGAAUUCCAGGUGUAGCGGUGAAAUGCGUAGAUAUCUGGAGGAACACCGGUGGCGAAGGCGGCAUCCUGGACCAAUUCUGACGCUGAGUGAGCGAAAGCCAGGGGAGCAAACAGG
Molecule: ribosomal RNA, 254 nt
Filed under: uncultured bacterium
Lineage: Bacteria
Description: partial 16S ribosomal RNA
Rfam family: Bacterial small subunit ribosomal RNA
Source: RNAcentral